Long non-coding RNA from Ipomoea nil (Japanese morning glory), 90 nucleotides. RefSeq lists it as uncharacterized. The record is from RefSeq and is a predicted model, not a curated record. The transcript is spliced from 3 exons. NCBI's taxonomy places the organism in Eukaryota, Viridiplantae, Streptophyta, Magnoliopsida, Solanales, Convolvulaceae.
UCGAGCCUCAGUGGAGGCGUUAUUGGUUCUUUGUGUUUCAGUAGGUUGAGAAACAGAUACUACAAUCUAAUAGAGCCAAUAGCUUUCAAA